Non-coding RNA from Capra hircus (goat), 378 nucleotides. The record is from the annotation of a RefSeq genome assembly. NCBI's taxonomy places the organism in Eukaryota, Metazoa, Chordata, Mammalia, Artiodactyla, Bovidae.
AUGAGCCCCUGCCUCCUGGGCUGUGUGGUCUUCUGUCUCCUGCAGGCAGGGGCGGUCCAUGCUGGUGUCACUCAGGACCCCGGAUUCCAGGUGGUGAGGACAGGAGAGAGCGCGACACUGAGAUGCACUCAGGAUCUGAGCUUUAGCUAUAUGUACUGGUACCGACAAGACCCCGGACACGGGCUGAGGCUGAUCCAUUGCUCAGUUAUCCCUCCCGCCACGGAGAAAGGAGCCGUGCCCGAGGGCUACAGCGUCUCCAGACCAAGCACAGAGAACUUUCCUCUCACGCUGGAGUCCGCCAACGCCUCGCAGACAUCUGUGUACUUCUGCUCCUGCGGCCUGGUGGAUUCUGAAAUCACCCAGACCCCAAAUACCUGA